CAACCGGAUUUUCUAAAAUCCACCCUUUCAAUCAAAGAAUCGUCAU
Molecule: regulatory RNA element, 46 nt
Organism: Thalassiosira oceanica
Lineage: Eukaryota; Bacillariophyta; Thalassiosirophyceae; Thalassiosirales; Thalassiosiraceae
Rfam family: Histone 3' UTR stem-loop
About the family: The mRNAs of metazoan histone genes lack a poly-A tail. 3' end processing occurs at a site between a highly conserved stem-loop (modelled by this family) and a purine rich region around 20 nts downstream (the histone downstream element, or HDE).
Source: Rfam